GGUAUGACUCUCGGCAACGGAUAUCUCGGCUCUCGCAUCGACGAAGAACGUAGCGAAAUGUGAUAUGAGGUGCGAAUUGCAGAAUCCCGCGAACCAUCGAGUCUUCGAACGCAAGUUGCGCCCAAGGCCAUCCGGCCGAAGGCACGCUUGCCAGGGCGCCAACC
RNAcentral lists this ribosomal RNA (164 nucleotides) under Calamus calospathus. RNAcentral's name for it is "5.8S ribosomal RNA". It matches the Rfam family "5.8S ribosomal RNA". Rfam says of the family: 5.8S ribosomal RNA (5.8S rRNA) is a component of the large subunit of the eukaryotic ribosome. It is transcribed by RNA polymerase I as part of the 45S precursor that also contains 18S and 28S rRNA. Lineage: Eukaryota; Viridiplantae; Streptophyta; Magnoliopsida; Arecales; Arecaceae. The record is from RNAcentral.